UGUGAGACACCCCGUAUCCCUGCUCUAAUGGAUUUUUUUUAAAGUUUAUCCACAGUUUGAAUAGGAGACUGAGGGACCACAUCAGAAUAUCCCAUAACGCCAUGGCUAAGACAUGCAUCUGAGAAGGGGAAGAUCUCAGUUCAGAUUCUUCAGUCUCCAUCUACUUACUCAGCUCCACAGCCAGCACAGUGAUAUUGUGCCAAGAAAGGUCUUCCCGGUCAAGAGGUCUUGCAGUCAUCAGAGCUCCUGUUGCAAUGUCAACGUAAAAGAACCUCCCGGGAUCACUGCUUCUAUCAAUUGAAUAUCUGCAAAAGUACAUACUAAAAAUAUUAUGCAA
Molecule: long non-coding RNA, 337 nt
Organism: Dermochelys coriacea (leatherback sea turtle)
Lineage: Eukaryota; Metazoa; Chordata; Testudines; Dermochelyidae
Exons: 2
Source: RefSeq, a predicted model, not a curated record